GCCUUCGUGGUGUAGUGGUCAGCACGCUCGACGUGUAUUCGAGAGGUCCGUGGUUCGAGUCCCGGCUAAGGCA
RNAcentral lists this transfer RNA (73 nucleotides) under Stegodyphus mimosarum. It matches the Rfam family "tRNA". From Rfam's summary of the family: Transfer RNA (tRNA) molecules are approximately 80 nucleotides in length. The record is from Rfam by way of RNAcentral. Lineage: Eukaryota; Metazoa; Arthropoda; Arachnida; Araneae; Eresidae.